CUCAGUGAUGAAGAACAAGCUACGAUCUCUGCACUGAGAAAGGAAGUGGAGAAGAAGAAUCAGAUGAUGAAGGAGAAGCUGGAGGAGAUGAACAGACACAUCUCAGCUCUUUCACACACCAUCAAAGACAUCGAGGAAAGAAUGAAAGCCAAUGACGUCUCGUUUCUGAAGAACUUUAAUGUCACAAAGGAAAGAGCCCGUGGCACUCAGCCCGAUCCAGAGAGGUGCUGUGGAG
Sinocyclocheilus grahami is the source of this 235-nucleotide long non-coding RNA. RefSeq lists it as uncharacterized. The transcript has 3 exons. The record is from RefSeq and is a predicted model, not a curated record. NCBI's taxonomy places the organism in Eukaryota, Metazoa, Chordata, Actinopteri, Cypriniformes, Cyprinidae.